This is a non-coding RNA of Xiphophorus hellerii (green swordtail), 432 nucleotides long. NCBI's taxonomy places the organism in Eukaryota, Metazoa, Chordata, Actinopteri, Cyprinodontiformes, Poeciliidae. The record is from the annotation of a RefSeq genome assembly.
CUUCCUCCUUCAGCUCAGCUCAACUCUCCAACAUUACCUCUGCUCAACAUGCUGUCUCUGCUCACAUCUGGAUUCACUCUGCUGGUUCUGAUCACUGGAUCAGGUGUAAACUGUCAACAACUCACUGCAGCGAAGACUGAGGAGUUCAGUUCAGAGGGCAGCUCUGUUACUCUGACCUGUAGUUACACCAACAAGAUAGCUCUUGGUGAUGAUUUCUUUUGGUAUCAGCAAAAUCCUGGAAAACCUCCAGAGUUCAUCUUCUACGUCUCAGGACUCAACAACUCAAGAUCAGCAGAGUCUCUGAAAUCAUUAACAAGAUUCUCCACUUACCUGAGAGGAGAGAAACACCUGGAUCUGCUGAUCUCCUCUGCUGCAGUGACAGACUCUGCUGUGUACUACAGCGCUGUGAGGCCCACAGUGACAGGAAACACC